CCAGACUCCUACGGGAGGCAGCAGUGGGGAAUAUUGCACAAUGGGGGAAACCCUGAUGCAGCAACGCCGCGUGAGUGAAGAAGUAUUUCGGUAUGUAAAGCUCUAUCAGCAGGGAAGAAGAAGGACGGUACCUGACUAAGAAGCCCCGGCUAACUACGUGCCAGCAGCCGCGGUAAUACGUAGGGGGCGAGCGUUAUCCGGAUUUACUGGGUGUAAAGGGAGCGUAGACGGUUAAUCAAGUCUGAAGUGAAAGCCCGCGGCUCAACUGCGGAACGGCUUUGGAAACUGAGUAACUGGAGUGCUGGAGGGGCAGGCGGAAUUCCUGGUGUAGCGGUGAAAUGCGUAGAUAUUAGGAGGAACACCAGUGGCGAAGGCGGCUUACUGGACUGUAACUGACGUUGAGGCUCGAAAGCGUGGGGAGCAAACAGGAUUAGAUACCCCUGUAAC
RNAcentral lists this ribosomal RNA (447 nucleotides) under uncultured bacterium. Its description in RNAcentral is "bacterial SSU rRNA". It matches the Rfam family "Bacterial small subunit ribosomal RNA", at positions 331 to 794 of the family's 1533-position model. The record is from RNAcentral.